This 847-nucleotide ribosomal RNA is filed under the name Thozetella tocklaiensis. Its description in RNAcentral is "partial large subunit ribosomal RNA". It matches the Rfam family "Eukaryotic large subunit ribosomal RNA", at positions 63 to 943 of the family's 3401-position model. The record is from RNAcentral. Lineage: Eukaryota; Fungi; Ascomycota; Sordariomycetes; Chaetosphaeriales; Chaetosphaeriaceae.
UUCCAACAGGGAUUGCCUCAGUAACGGCGAGUGAAGCGGCAACAGCUCAAAUUUGAAAUCUGGCCCCAGGCCCGAAUUGUAAUUUGCAGAGGAUGCUUCUGGCGCGGUGCCUUCCAAGUCCCCUGGAACGGGGCGCCAUAGAGGGUGAGAGCCCCGUCUGGUUGGCCGCCAAGCCUGUGUGAAGCUCCUUCGACGAGUCGAGUAGUUUGGGAAUGCUGCUCUAAAUGGGAGGUAGACCCCUUCUAAAGCUAAAUAUUGGCCAGAGACCGAUAGCGCACAAGUAGAGUGAUCGAAAGAUGAAAAGCACUUUGAAAAGAGGGUUAAACAGUACGUGAAAUUGUUGAAAGGGAAGCGCUUGUGACCAGACGUGCGUCGGGGUGUUCAGCGGGCGUUCUCGCCCGUGCACUCGCCCCGGUGCAGGCCAGCGUCGGUUCGGGUGGGGGGACAAAGGCGUCGGGAACGUAGCUCCUCCGGGAGUGUUAUAGCCCAGCGUGUCAUGCCCCCGCCUGGACCGAGGUUCGCGCUCCGCAAGGACGCUGGCGUAAUGGUCCCCAGCGGCCCGUCUUGAAACACGGACCAAGGAGUCGAGGUUUUGCGCGAGUGUUUGGGUGUCAAACCCGCACGCGUAAUGAAAGUGAACGCAGGUGGGAGCUUCGGCGCACCACCGACCGAUCCUGAUGUUCUCGGAUGGAUUUGAGUAAGAGCGUAGGGCCUCGGACCCGAAAGAUGGUGAACUAUACGUGAAUAGGGUGAAGCCAGAGGAAACUCUGGUGGAGGCUCGCAGCGGUUCUGACGUGCAAAUCGAUCGUCAAAUUUGCGUAUGGGGGCGAAAGACUAAUCGAACCAU